Molecule: unclassified non-coding RNA, 214 nt
Filed under: uncultured Hemimycena
Lineage: Eukaryota; Fungi; Basidiomycota; Agaricomycetes; Agaricales; Tricholomataceae
Description: sequence contains ITS1
Source: RNAcentral
UUGAAUAGUAUUGAGCGCUGUGCUGGCCUUUCGGGGUAUUGUGCACGCGUUUGAAACCAUUUUAUCUUUUGUGCACCUAGUGUGGGCUUUUGAGGUUGAGAAGCAGUCUUUUUUAGACUGUGGAUUGGCUUCAGAAGACCAUUUUUUUAUAUCCUUUUAAACAAGUUAAUAGAAAGUCUCUUUACUUGACGCAAGUCAGUAAAUAAAACAAAUA